UACAUGGGGUGCAAACGUUGCUCGGAAUUACUGGGCGUAAAGCGUGCGUAGGUGGUUCGUUAAGUCUGUCGUGAAAGCCCCGGGCUCAACCUGGGAAUGGCGAUGGAUACUGGCGGGCUAGAGUGCGGUAGAGGGUGGUGGAAUUCCCGGUGUAGCAGUGAAAUGCGUAGAGAUCGGGAGGAACAUCAGUUGCGAAGGCGGUCACCUGGACCAGCACUGACACUGAGGCACGAAAGCGUGGGGAGCAAACAGG
Molecule: ribosomal RNA, 253 nt
Filed under: uncultured bacterium
Lineage: Bacteria
Description: partial 16S ribosomal RNA
Rfam family: Bacterial small subunit ribosomal RNA
Source: RNAcentral